Molecule: ribosomal RNA, 462 nt
Filed under: uncultured bacterium
Lineage: Bacteria
Description: bacterial SSU rRNA
Rfam family: Bacterial small subunit ribosomal RNA
Source: RNAcentral
GAACGCGAAAGCCCCGCAAGGGGUAAGUAGAGUGGCGAACGGGUGAGUAACACGUGGGUGACCUACCUUCGAAUGGGGGAUAACGUCCCGAAAGGGACGCUAAUACCGCAUAACAUCCUGCUCUUGAACGAGUGGAGAUCAAAGCCGGGGAUCGCGAGACCUGGCGUUUGAAGAGGGGCCCGCGUCUGAUUAGCUAGUUGGUGAGGUAACGGCCCACCAAGGCGACGAUCAGUAUCCGGCCUGAGAGGGCGGACGGACACACUGGGACUGAGACACGGCCCAGACUCCUACGGGAGGCAGCAGUGGGGAAUUGUUCGCAAUGGGCGCAAGCCUGACGACGCAACGCCGCGUGGAGGAUGAAGGUCUUCGGAUUGUAAACUCCUGUUGCCCGGGACGAAACGUUUCGACCUAACACGUCGAGACCUGACGGUACCGGGUGAGGAAGCCCCGGCUAACUCUGUG